GGCGACUUGGCGGCGGGUGCCAUGCGUCUGGAGCUUCACAUUCUCUGCCCCCCACCCACCGCGCCGGCGCUCCCUUGUCACGCCUCGGGAAGCGCGCACCUGCCAAGCAGGAUGAAUAAUCUGAUAUCAUGUGAAAUGAGGAAAUAAGAAGCUUUCUGCUGACUUCAUUUUGACCCAGGGUCCAAAAGGUGAUGUAAUCCUGUGGCAAGAAGAUUCAAAACUGUGGACUAUCUUGCAAAAAAUACAAGAAGAUAUUGAAAGUUUUCAUGAGUGCCUACCACCUAAUCUCAAACACUAUCAUUCAUAUGUGCCUCAUUGAGCAAAUCUUUAAUGAGGAUCUAUAUGCCAGCAAUAUCUUUUGCUUGGGAGCAGAAACAGAAAGUACAUGAUGGACUUCAUUGAAGGAUGGAGAUUUGGAAGACAUGAAUGGAUGAAGAACCAAGUGCGUGAGGGCACCUAUCAGGAUUAUUGCUGAAAUCCUUAUGGAGUUAACUGGCUGAGAGGAAGGCAAGCAAGCGAGGACUGAUGGGCCCUUGGCACUGUGAGAACAGUGGAGGAGGAGGGAGCAGGGUUCAUAAGGAGGAGCACAAACAGAAAGUUCAGUGGCCCCAAUAAAAAUAACACCAGAAUCUUCCAGAUACUUUCUCCAUAAGGCGAAAAGAGAUGGGGUUUCACCAUGUUGCCCAGGCUGGUCUCAAACUCCUGAGCUCAGGCC
Molecule: long non-coding RNA, 715 nt
Filed under: Homo sapiens (human)
Lineage: Eukaryota; Metazoa; Chordata; Mammalia; Primates; Hominidae
Description: novel transcript
Source: RNAcentral